UGAUGUGGCUCAGUCGGUAGAGCACCGCCUUGGUAAGGCGGAGGUCACGGGUCCGAUUCCCGUCAUCA
RNAcentral lists this transfer RNA (68 nucleotides) under human gut metagenome. It matches the Rfam family "tRNA". From Rfam's summary of the family: Transfer RNA (tRNA) molecules are approximately 80 nucleotides in length. Their secondary structure includes four short double-helical elements and three loops (D, anti-codon, and T loops). The record is from RNAcentral.